GAUGAACGCUGGCGGCGUGCUUAACACAUGCAAGUCGAACGAUGAAGCCCAGCUUGCUGGGUGGAUUAGUGGCGAACGGGUGAGUAACACGUGAGUAACCUGCCCUUAACUCUGGGAUAAGCCUGGGAAACUGGGUCUAAUACCGGAUAGGAGCGUCCACCGCAUGGUGGGUGUUGGAAAGAUUUAUCGGUUUUGGAUGGACUCGCGGCCUAUCAGCUUGUUGGUGAGGUAAUGGCUCACCAAGGCGACGACGGGUAGCCGGCCUGAGAGGGUGACCGGCCACACUGGGACUGAGACACGGCCCAGACUCCUACGGGAGGCAGCAGUGGGGAAUAUUGCACAAUGGGCGCAAGCCUGAUGCAGCGACGCCGCGUGAGGGGUGACGGCCUUCGGGUUGUAAACCUCUUUUAGUAGGGAAGAAGCGCAAGUGACGGUACCUGCAGAAAAAGCACCGGCUAACUACGU
This 465-nucleotide ribosomal RNA is filed under the name uncultured bacterium. RNAcentral's name for it is "partial 16S ribosomal RNA". It matches the Rfam family "Bacterial small subunit ribosomal RNA", at positions 28 to 506 of the family's 1533-position model. The record is from RNAcentral.